UGGGGAAUUUUGGACAAUGGGGGCAACCCUGAUCCAGCCAUCCCGCGUGUGCGAUGAAGGCCUUCGGGUUGUAAAGCACUUUUGGCAGGGAAGAAAAGGCGCGGGCUAAUACCCGGCGCCGCUGACGGUACCUGCAGAAUAAGCACCGGCUAACUACGUGCCAGCAGCCGCGGUAAUACGUAGGGUGAAAGCGUUAAUCGGAAUUACUGGGCGUAAAGCGUGCGCAGGCGGUUCGGCAAGAAGGAUGUGAAAUCCCGGGGCUUAACCUCGGAACUGCAUUCUUAACUGCCGGGCUAGAGUAUGUCAGAGGGGGGUAGAAUUCCACGUGUAGCAGUGAAAUGCGUAGAGAUGUGGAGGAAUACCGAUGGCGAAGGCAGCCCCCUGGUGAUGAUACUGACGCUCAUGCACGAAAGCGUGGGGAGCAAACAGGAUUAGAUACCCUGGUAGUCCACGCCCUAAACGAUGUCCAACUAGCUGUUGGGGUCCUUCGGGCCUUCAGUAGCGCAGCUAAACGCGUAGUAGUUGACUGCCUGGGGAGUACGG
This 543-nucleotide ribosomal RNA is filed under the name uncultured bacterium. RNAcentral describes it as "bacterial SSU rRNA". It matches the Rfam family "Bacterial small subunit ribosomal RNA", at positions 355 to 885 of the family's 1533-position model. The record is from RNAcentral.